GAUGAAGCCCAGCUUGCUGGGUGGAUUAGUGGCGAACGGGUGAGUAACACGUGAGUAACCUGCCCUUAACUCUGGGAUAAGCCUGGGAAACUGGGUCUAAUACCGGAUAGGAGCGUCCACCGCAUGGUGGGUGUUGGAAAGAUUUAUCGGUUUUGGAUGGACUCGCGGCCUAUCAGCUUGUUGGUGAGGUAAUGGCUCACCAAGGCGACGACGGGUAGCCGGCCUGAGAGGGUGACCGGCCACACUGGGACUGAGACACGGCCCAGACUCCUACGGGAGGCAGCAGUGGGGAAUAUUGCACAAUGGGCGCAAGCCUGAUGCAGCGACGCCGCGUGAGGGAUGACGGCCUUCGGGUUGUAAACCUCUUUCAGUAGGGAAGAAGCGAAAGUGACGGUACCUGCAGAAGAAGCACCGGCUAACUACGUGCCAGCAGCCGCGGGUAAUACGUAGGGUGCGAGCGUUAUCCGGAAUUAUUGGGCGUAAAGAGCUCGUAGGCGGUUUGUCGCGUCUGUCGUGAAAGUCCGGGGCUUAACCCCGGAUCUGCGGUGGGGUACGGGCAGACUAGAGUGCAGUAGGGGAGACUGGAAUUCCUGGUGUAGCGGUGGAAUGCGCAGAUAUCAGGAGGAACACCGAUGGCGAAGGGCAGGUCUCUGGGCUGUAACUGACGCUGAGGAGCGAAAGCAUGGGGAGCGAACAGGAUUAGAUACCCUGGUAGUCCAUGCCGUAAACGUUGGGCACUAGGUGUGGGGACCAUUCCACGGUUUCCGCGCCGCAGCUAACGCAUUAAGUGCCCCGCCUGGGGAGUACGGCCGCAAGGCUAAAACUCAAAGGAAUUGACGGGGGCCCGCACAAGCGGCGGAGCAUGCGGAUUAAUUCGAUGCAACGCGAAGAACCUUACCAAGGCUUGACAUGUUCCCGAUCGCCGUAGAGAUACGGUUUCCCCUUUGGGGCGGGUUCACAGGUGGUGCAUGGUUGUCGUCAGCUCGUGUCGUGAGAUGUUGGGUUAAGUCCCGCAACGAGCGCAACCCUCGUUCCAUGUUGCCAGCACGUCGUGGUGGGGACUCAUGGGAGACUGCCGGGGUCAACUCGGAGGAAGGUGAGGACGACGUCAAAUCAUCAUGCCCCUUAUGUCUUGGGCUUCACGCAUGCUACAAUGGCCGGUACAAUGGGUUGCGAUACUGUGAGGUGGAGCUAAUCCCAAAAAGCCGGUCUCAGUUCGGAUUGGGGUCUGCAACUCGACCCCAUGAAGUCGGAGUCGCUAGUAAUCGCAGAUCAGCAACGCUGCGGUGAAUACGUUCCCGGGCCUUGUACACACCGCCCGUCAAGUCACGAAAGUUGGUAACACCCGAAGCCGGUGGCCUAACCCUUGUGGGGGGAGCCG
Molecule: ribosomal RNA, 1381 nt
Filed under: Micrococcus luteus
Lineage: Bacteria; Bacillati; Actinomycetota; Actinomycetes; Micrococcales; Micrococcaceae
Description: bacterial SSU rRNA
Rfam family: Bacterial small subunit ribosomal RNA
Source: RNAcentral